ACUUAUGAUUGCAAACCCUAGUAAUAUUUCUACCCCAAACACAACUCUAGUUAAUGACCAAUCCCUCUUAGUACCAAUCACAUGUUCUUGUAAAAACAUCAACACCACCCUUGGUAACAUCUCAUAUGCUGGCCUUAACUAUAGUUUCAACUCAGGUGAUACUAUGUACAGGAUCUCAAGUAGCAAGUUCCAAAACCUUACUAAUUAUCAAUAUGUUGAGGCUCUUAAUCCAACUGUUGUAUGCUGGCCUUAACUAUAGUUUCAUCUCAGGUGAUACUAUGUACGCGAUGUCAACUAUUAAGUUCCAAAACCUUACAAAUUAUCAAUAUGUUGAGGCUCUUAAUCCAACUGUUGUACCAGAAAAUAUUCAAAUAGGUCAAGCUAUAGAAUUCCCAAUUUUUUGUAAGUGUCCAAACAGAACACAAACACAACCCCAAAACCAAACCCAACCAAGAUAUCUUAUUAGUUAUGUAUUUCAACCUUUUGACAACAUUUCUUCAAUUGCUUCAAGGUUUGGAACAACCCCACAAUCCAUAAGGGAAAUUAAUGGAAAUAAUCCCAAGAAUUUUGAUACCAAACCCAACCAAGAUAUCUUAUAAGUUAUGUAUUUCAACCUUUUGACAAUAUUUCUUCAAUUGCUUCAAGAUUUGGAACAACCCCACAAUCUAUUAGAGAAAUUAAUGGAAAUAAUCCCAAGAUUUUUGAUACCCUUUUCAUUCCGCUGUCUAAACUUCCUAAUAUUACACAGCCAACAGCUACAAAUGCUACCCCACCUCCUCCACCAACAAAUACAACAA
RNAcentral lists this long non-coding RNA (797 nucleotides) under Nicotiana benthamiana. Its description in RNAcentral is "long non-coding RNA (NBEN_LNC018078)". Lineage: Eukaryota; Viridiplantae; Streptophyta; Magnoliopsida; Solanales; Solanaceae. The record is from RNAcentral.